UUGUAUGUGUCGGUCUUUUUUCAGGAACUUCCCUAGAAGAUUGCUCUUGCUCAGAAUGAUUUUUCCAAGGAUCUACUUGAGCUCCUCGAGCACAAUGAAAACAUCAGCUGGUGCUUUCAGAUGGGUCAUUCAUUUAUGUGGUUCUUUCGGCUCUAAUUAAGAAACACAGCAGGGUGUGGUGGAGAAAAUCUAUAAUCCCAGCAUUCGGGAGGCUAAGGCAGGAGAAUCGCUGUGAGUUCGAGACCAGCCCGGGCUACAUAGUGAGUUCCAGGUCAGUCUCAACUACAUAGUGAGACUCCGUCUCAAAAAAAAAAAAACAAAAAAAAAACAAAAAACAAAAACAAAAACAAAACAAAACAAAAUCAUAGACUUAAUAAAUAUACCAACCAGGG
RNAcentral lists this long non-coding RNA (392 nucleotides) under Fukomys damarensis (Damara mole-rat). RNAcentral's name for it is "lncRNA (ENSFDAG00000026868.1)". The record is from RNAcentral. Lineage: Eukaryota; Metazoa; Chordata; Mammalia; Rodentia; Bathyergidae.